This 292-nucleotide ribosomal RNA is filed under the name uncultured bacterium. RNAcentral's name for it is "partial 16S ribosomal RNA". It matches the Rfam family "Bacterial small subunit ribosomal RNA", at positions 505 to 796 of the family's 1533-position model. The record is from RNAcentral.
GUGCCAGCAGCCGCGGUAAGACGAACCGUGCGAACGUUGUUCGGAAUCACUGGGCUUAAAGGGCGCGUAGGCGGACAGUCAAGUCAGGGGUGAAAUCCCACGGCUCAACCGUGGAAGUGCCUUUGAUACUGACAGUCUCGAGGGAGGUAGGGGCGUGCGGAACUUCCGGUGGAGCGGUGAAAUGCGUAGAUAUCGGAAGGAACGCCGGUGGCGAAAGCGGCGCGCUGGACCUCUUCUGACGCUGAGGCGCGAAAGCUAGGGGAGCAAACGGGAUUAGAUACCCUCGUAGUCC